RNAcentral lists this ribosomal RNA (485 nucleotides) under uncultured bacterium. Its description in RNAcentral is "partial 16S ribosomal RNA". It matches the Rfam family "Bacterial small subunit ribosomal RNA", at positions 29 to 523 of the family's 1533-position model. The record is from RNAcentral.
AAUGAACGUUGGCGGCGUGGAUUAGGCAUGCAAGUCGUGCGGAAAGGCCCCGCAAGGGGUACUCGAGCGGCGUAAGGGAUAGUAAUGCGUGGAUUACCUACCCUCCGGCCUGGGAUAGCUGCGGGAAACUGCAAUUAAUACCAGAUAACGUCUCCGGACCAAAGGUGUGAUUCCGUCAGAGGAUGGGUCCACGUCCUAUUAGCUAGUUGGUAGGGUAAAGGCCUACCAAGGCUACGAUGGGUAGCGGGUGUGAGAGCACGACCCGCAUCACUGGGGCUGAGACACAGCCCAGACACCUACGGGUGGCUGCAGUCGAGAAUCUUCGGCAAUGGGCGAAAGCCUGACCGAGCGACGCCGCGUGCGGGAUGAAGGCCUUCGGGUUGUAAACCGCUGUCAGUGGGGAGGAAAUGUCGGAGGGUUCACCCUCCGGCUUGACCUAUCCGCAGAGGAAGUACGGGCUAAGUUCGUGCCAGCCACCGCCGUAA